This is a non-coding RNA of Apis florea (little honeybee), 66 nucleotides long. NCBI's taxonomy places the organism in Eukaryota, Metazoa, Arthropoda, Insecta, Hymenoptera, Apidae. The record is from the annotation of a RefSeq genome assembly.
UUUAAUAUGGCAGAAUAGUGCAUUGAAUUUAAGCUUCAAUUAUAAAGUUUUUAACUUUUAUUAAAA